UGUUCCACAGGGAUGCUGGUCCAUGUUGACUCUACAAGGUGUUGAAAGUGUUCCACAGGGAUGCUGGCCCAUGUUGACUCUACAAGGUGUUGAAAGUGUUCCACAGGGAUGCUGGCCCAUGUUGACUCUACAAGGUGUUGAAAGUGUUCCACAGGGAUGCUGGCCCAUGUUGACUCUACAAGGUGUUGAAAGUGUUCCACAGGGAUGCUGGCCCAUGUUGACUCUACAAGGUGUUGAAAGUGUUCCACAGGGAUGCUGGCCCAUGUUGACUCUACAAGGUGUUGAAAGCGUUCCACAGGGAUGCUGGCCCAUGUUGACUCUACAAGGUGUUGAAAGUGUUCCACAGGGAUGCUGGCCCAUGUUGACUCUACAAGGUGUUGAAAGUGUUCCACAGGGAUGCUGGCCCAUGUUGACUCUACAAGGUGUUGAAAGUGUUCCACAGGGAUGCUGGCCCAUGUUGACU
This is a long non-coding RNA of Oncorhynchus keta (chum salmon), 463 nucleotides long. RefSeq lists it as uncharacterized. The transcript is spliced from 4 exons. The record is from RefSeq and is a predicted model, not a curated record. Lineage: Eukaryota; Metazoa; Chordata; Actinopteri; Salmoniformes; Salmonidae.